UACGUAGGGGGCCAGCGUUGCUCGGAAUUACUGGGCGUAAAGGGUUCGUAGGUGGUGCGGCAAGUUGGGAGUGAAAUCUCUGGGCUUAACUCAGAGGCUGCUUUCAAAACUGCCGUGCUCGAGUGCGAGAGAGGCCAGUGGAAUUGCAGGUGUAGCGGUGAAAUGCGUAGAUAUCUGCAGGAACACCCGUGGCGAAGGCGGCUGGCUGGAUCGCAACUGACACUGAGGAACGAAAGCUAGGGGAGCAAACAGG
This 253-nucleotide ribosomal RNA is filed under the name uncultured Candidatus Solibacter sp. RNAcentral describes it as "partial 16S ribosomal RNA". It matches the Rfam family "Bacterial small subunit ribosomal RNA", at positions 524 to 776 of the family's 1533-position model. The record is from RNAcentral. Lineage: Bacteria; Pseudomonadati; Acidobacteriota; Terriglobia; Bryobacterales; Solibacteraceae.